Molecule: ribosomal RNA, 458 nt
Filed under: uncultured bacterium
Lineage: Bacteria
Description: SSU rRNA
Rfam family: Bacterial small subunit ribosomal RNA
Source: RNAcentral
AGAACGAACGCUGGCGGCAGGCUUAACACAUGCAAGUCGAGCGAGGACUUCGGUCCUAGCGGCGGACGGGUUAGUAACGCGUGGGAACGUGCCCCUUUCCUCGGAAUAGCCUCGGGAAACUGGGAGUAAUGCCGAAUACGCCGAGCCAUUGAGAGAUGGUUUGGGAAAGAUUUAUCGGAGAGGGAUCGGCCCGCGUUGGAUUAGGUAGUUGGUGGGGUAAUGGCAUACCAAGCCGACGAUCCAUAGCUGGUUUGAGAGGAUGAUCAGCAACACUGGGACUGAGACACGGCCCAGACUCCUACGGGAGGCAGCAGUGGGGAAUCUUGGACAAUGGGGGCAACCCUGAUCCAGCCAUGCCGCGUGAUCGAUGAAGGCCUUAGGGUUGUAAAGAUCUUUCAGCGGGAAGAUAAUGACGGUACCGCAGAAGAAGCCCCGGCUAACUCCGUGCCAGCAGCCGC